Rhipicephalus microplus (southern cattle tick) is the source of this 1997-nucleotide long non-coding RNA. RefSeq lists it as uncharacterized. Lineage: Eukaryota; Metazoa; Arthropoda; Arachnida; Ixodida; Ixodidae. The record is from RefSeq and is a predicted model, not a curated record.
GUCGUCUUAAAUGUCACUGCGUGUGCUGGCGAAAAACUCCCCGUGUGUGUCCGUGUGUGUCCGUGUGGUGUGUGUGUGGCUUCUCGAUCGAUAGAGUUUAUUAGUCGGUAUUUAGUUUGAAUUGUGCCUGUUCUCUAUGUUCAACUUGUGUGUUCUGUGGUUGUUUAACAACCUGUGGACCACCUGUGGUUCUUUAACGCGCGCCCAAUUCAGAGCACACGGGUCUAAAACUUUUCCGCCUCCAUCGGAAAUGCAGCCGCCACCGCCGGGAUUUCAUCCCACGACCUGUGGGUCAGCAGCCGAGUACCUUAACCAAUACACUACAGCGAUGGGGCGGGUUCUGCCAAUACUGAUUUUUGCGAAGAUGCACGAUCCUGAAGGCUGGACCUGUGGAGUCAUAUUGUGGAGCACUCGAAGUGAAAUAAUAAUUGGAGGAGGUCAUCAUCAGGAACCCCCAUGCACACUGUAUUCAUCGACCUUUGUGGGCCUACCGAAACGGGGACGUUUCCAAAUACUACAAGUUUAGAUAGGUUACCAUAUUGGAACUUGAAGCGUACCUCCAAGAGGUAGCUGCGGCACCCGGACUUGGUUUUAUUGCAGCCUGGGCCAAUGGCUUCCGUGAGCGUUUUUGAAACGACGGAAGGUGAAAUUGAUUGGACUGUUUUGUUUUCUUCAAGGCUGUGUGUGACAUGAUACUUUCGGGAACAAAUGAUUUGGUCUCAGGAGUCUGAAGCUUUUUUGUUGCACCACCUUUUCGGGGAGGAUCACUGAGUGCGGGGAAAAAGUGCGCCAUAGAGGAAACGUAACAUAUUGUGGCAAUGGUGGCGACCCACCGCCAAGCCCAACGAGAAGGCGCUAUAAGGUUCAUUAUUAAACACUUGGAGAAGUCAGCCGUGCAUUGCCGCUAUAUUCGAAUAUAAGUACCUUAGGUUGGGUAAAUGCACAGGGCUAACCCUCGCCGCCAGAAAAUUUGGAAGUAAACGGAACAGAGAAGAUGACAAGACAGAUAAAGAGUCACAGCUUUGCCGCAAAGGCUAAGCAAUGAACGUGAUAGCAGCAAACUGGAAGGUGACGGACCGAAUGACAAGCAGAUCGAAAACGUGCCCCGCGUUUCUGACGCGCAAAUGAAGCACAAAGCGUACUCACAGGUACAGACAAACGCGUAAAAGCGUCUCAGUUGGUACUUCGCUCUGUCUGAAAAGCACGGUUUUUUCGCAAAUGGAGACUGUGCAAUGGUUGCAGUGACCUUUCUGCGCCCGGUAACUACAACAGAAAUGUUCUAGCAAAAGGUCAACGCCAGCUAAGGCACAUGAUCGUCCCCACUGAAAGAUAAGGGGGCGUGAGCGAGCAUCUACAUCUUUGUCGCUGGCGUCGACGCCGACGCCUUGGGUGAAAUACAGCGGAGAAUUUCCAUAUAACUGUUAUCGCAAUGAAUAUGAGCGACGAAACGAAGAUGCAGGGAUGUUAGGAGAGAUAGAAAAAGACGACUGCCAAUUUCACCUUAGUGGGUCAGCCCAGGGGUGCGGUCUACGUGAAGCUGGCACCAAAGGCAUGCGUUGCCUCCAAGCACCCAGCAGCCAGAUCCAAGCACCCAGCGUCGGCUCAACUCCAAGCAUACCCGUUUUUCUGGACACGUCUAAGUCACGCAUGGCAAGGCGUGGGAGAAAAUGAACCCCCCCCCCCUUCCUUCGGUGGCUCGGAUCCGUGAUGUGCCACACACCAAACGCCUACUUGCACAGACGCCUAUGCGGGGUACCACCGACUAAAUAAAUGAAAUUAUAUGGGAAAGUCAAUUUCCAAAGCUAAAGCGAUCUAGGUUCUUGAGGGCUGAAAACACUACGCGUACGUUAGCCUGCUGAGCCACAUUUGCACCUUAUAGAGCAACUGGUAAUCCCCAUAGUUACACCUUACCGGGACACCAUUAGUCCUCCUAUUUGUCAUAUGCUGCUCAAGUUUAUGCUGCGCGGUUCCAGCAAAUAAAUUUUGUUUUAGGUCAG